CGGACGGGUGAGUAACGCGUGGAUAACCUGCCGUAUGCAGGGGGAUACCAACUGGAAACAGUUGCUAAUACCGCAUAAGCGCACAGUGUCGCAUGACACGGUGUGAAAAGAUUUAUCGGCAUACGAUGGAUCCGCGUCCGAUUAGCCAGUUGGCGGGGUAACGGCCCACCAAAGCGACGAUCGGUAGCCGGCCUGAGAGGGCGGACGGCCACAUUGGGACUGAGACACGGCCCAAACUCCUACGGAAGGCAGCAG
This 255-nucleotide ribosomal RNA is filed under the name uncultured bacterium. RNAcentral's name for it is "partial 16S ribosomal RNA". It matches the Rfam family "Bacterial small subunit ribosomal RNA", at positions 99 to 354 of the family's 1533-position model. The record is from RNAcentral.